GGCGGCCCGCCGGUUGCCUGGUUACGGAUGAUCGCAGCUCUGUAUCCCGGAUGUGCCGCGGAAGUUCGUUCCAGUCCCCGCCGAUUCUCGGGGGUGUAGUACCUGGGAGAGUCUGACAGUACCGAAAUCGAGUUCCCAGCCUGUUUCAACACAGAACACGUGGUAGAAUUCAACCCUGGCCCCACCACCCUUGAUCCAUUUGUACCGGGUGGUCACCGUGCUCUGCAGCCACUUUGUCCCAGCAAACUACUCACGGAGAGCAAUGGCAUCGUCAGCUCCCCAGAAUGAAGGGAGCGCAGAGGCAAAAGCACCAACUCUCCCAGGCUCAGGGCUUUCGCCUCUUCCCUCUCAUGUUAAGUUCCGAGGGCCUAAGGGCUAGCCCAGACCUGCCUCCCUGGUGUUCUGAGGAGCCUGUGGUCAGCCUUAGCGGGCUCUAUCCUGAAGAUACCACAAGCUGCAGAAGCCAACACAGCCUGGGCAAAUGCAAGAACUCCAGACCCCGGGCUGGAAUGUUAAAGAGGCAGCAUUGUAUUUGACUUCUACAGGGUGACAAAAAAGCUGUGAUCAGCACGGUGAACCUGAAAGGACCUUGGGACUUUCUUUUUCCCUCCUCGCUCCUGCUAAGCCUUCAAGCACAGACCGUCUCUGGCUCCCAGCUAUAAGUAGCCUGGUGUGGAGGAGAGGAUUCCUGGCCCACAGCCGAGCCAUCAAGCCUCAGGCCCUGGAGGCCAGGGCUCUGAGUCACAGACCCUCCUCUUUAAGGCCCAGCCUGUUACCUAGGUGUUAUAUGCCCUUUGUCAGCUUCCUUAACCUCCCUGAGCAGCAGGCCUAACCUGGGGUUCUAGCAGGGUGAGCACCUGGACAGUUUGGGGACUGAAAGAGAGUGCUGUUGAUACAUGUGCUUGGACAACAGCCAUGAACAGGGACUAUGGCUGGGAUGUAGGGUGACUCUGGCUGCAGAACAUGCAGGGGCCUGUGCCCAGGAAGGGUGCUGCUGGGGCACCAUAGUUAUUCUUGAGGAAGCUUCCUUCCCUUUGCAAUGUCUACUCCUUUCUCCCUUCUCCUGAUCCCUCCCCUGGCUCAUACUUGGAGGCUGGAUACAUGUCACCACCUCCCUGAAGUCCCCCUGGGUGGACUAGAAUCAGCCACUCUUUCCUGGGGGCAAAGUUGUUAGUUUCUCAUGUAAAGCUCCACGACCAGAGCUGUAGUCACAUUACCCAGAAUACUUAGGACACAGGGCUGUGCCCUUGCCAGGACAAUGGGCAGAGGCUAUGCCAGAGAACUCGGCUGUCCUUGUCAUCAUUACAACACUUUGUUACAUAUUGUCAUAGUGUGUUUUCGAUAUCGCCAAAGUCGACCUCACCAUUAGCCUGCGUCAUGCAAGGAGGCUGCCGCUGAGCACCUUACAGGGGACUCUGCAAACCCAGGUGGACGCAAAGUCUCGAGUACAUGCCAGAGUGCCAAGAAUGUAAACUAUUUCAUUAAUAACUUUAUUAUGUGUUGAAAGGGUAAUAUUUUGGAUAUAUUAUUUGAAUAAAAUACAUUAUUAAAAUCUA
Molecule: long non-coding RNA, 1556 nt
Organism: Manis pentadactyla (Chinese pangolin)
Lineage: Eukaryota; Metazoa; Chordata; Mammalia; Pholidota; Manidae
Exons: 2
Source: RefSeq, a predicted model, not a curated record